CGUUAAUCGGAAUUACUGGGCGUAAAGGUGCGCAGGCGGUUCUGUAAGUCAGAUGUGAAAUCCCCGGGGCUUAACCUGGGAACUGCGUUUGAAACUGCAGAGCUAGAGUGCGGCAGAGGGAGGUGGAAUUCCAUGUGUAGCAGUGAAAUGCGUAGAGAUAUGGAAGAACAUCGAUGGCGAAGGCAACCUCCUGGGCUAGCACUGACGCUCAUGCACGAAAGCGUGGGGAGCAAACAGGAUUAGAUACCCUGGUAGUCCACGCCCUAAACUAUGUCAACUAGUUGUCGGGUCUUAUUAGACUUGGUAACGUAGCUAACGCGUGAAGUUGACCGCCUGGGGAGUACGGUCGCAAGAUUAAAACUCAAAGGAAUUGACGGGGACCCGCACAAGCGGUGGAUUAUGUGGAUUAAUUCGAUCCC
This 419-nucleotide ribosomal RNA is filed under the name uncultured bacterium. Its description in RNAcentral is "bacterial SSU rRNA". It matches the Rfam family "Bacterial small subunit ribosomal RNA", at positions 539 to 958 of the family's 1533-position model. The record is from RNAcentral.